UACGUAGGGGGCAAGCGUUGUCCGGAUUUAUUGGGCGUAAAGCGCGUGUAGGCGGCCAGAAAAGUCCGCUGUGAAAACUCGAGGCUCAACUUCGAGCUGUCGGUGGAAACUUUCUGGCUAGAGUCCGGAAGAGGAGAAUGGAAUUCCUGGUGUAGCGGUGAAAUGCGCAGAUAUCAGGAAGAACACCCGUGGCGAAGGCGGUUCUCUG
This 208-nucleotide ribosomal RNA is filed under the name uncultured bacterium. RNAcentral's name for it is "partial 16S ribosomal RNA". It matches the Rfam family "Bacterial small subunit ribosomal RNA", at positions 524 to 731 of the family's 1533-position model. The record is from RNAcentral.